Molecule: transfer RNA, 110 nt
Filed under: Lachancea fermentati
Lineage: Eukaryota; Fungi; Ascomycota; Saccharomycetes; Saccharomycetales; Saccharomycetaceae
Rfam family: tRNA
About the family: Transfer RNA (tRNA) molecules are approximately 80 nucleotides in length. Their secondary structure includes four short double-helical elements and three loops (D, anti-codon, and T loops). Further hydrogen bonds mediate the characteristic L-shaped molecular structure. tRNAs have two regions of fundamental functional importance: the anti-codon, which is responsible for specific mRNA codon recognition, and the 3' end, to which the tRNAs corresponding amino acid is attached (by aminoacyl-tRNA synthetases). tRNAs cope with the degeneracy of the genetic code in two manners: having more than one tRNA (with a specific anti-codon) for a particular amino acid; and 'wobble' base-pairing, i.e. permitting non-standard base-pairing at the 3rd anti-codon position.
Source: Rfam by way of RNAcentral
GGGCGUGUGGUCUAGUGGUAUGAUUCUCGCUUUGGGCGAAGUCUGGGCUAAACCCGGACUCUAAAACCUAAGUAUGUGAGAGGCCCUGGGUUCAAUUCCCAGUACGCCCC